RNAcentral lists this long non-coding RNA (316 nucleotides) under Elaeis guineensis (African oil palm). Its description in RNAcentral is "long non-coding RNA (EGUI_LNC027137)". Lineage: Eukaryota; Viridiplantae; Streptophyta; Magnoliopsida; Arecales; Arecaceae. The record is from RNAcentral.
GGGAGGGUGAGCCAUGGCAGGGCGAGGUCUUCCAUUAUGAUAUAUUCCGCACCCCCCGACUCUCCGUGUCUCCACCGGUACCAUGACGCUCGCCCCCUAGCCCCUACAAGAACGACCCCACUCCAUUGACGUCGGAGGUGGAGGUGGAGGUGGAGGCUUUCUUGGAUGUAAAUAUGGUCUCAGAGUAGGAGCGGGAGCGAGCGAGCAGCAGGGAAGGUCUGGGGAGGGGGAGCCAUGAUAAGAUGUGUUGGGAUAAGUCAAUCGAUCUCUGACUCAAGUCAACCGACUACCGACUUCGAUUUAACCAAAGCCGACC